GACGAACGCUGGCGGCGUGCUUAACACAUGCAAGUCGAACGGAAAGGCCCUGCUUUUGUGGGGUGCUCGAGUGGCGAGCGGGUGAGUAACACGUGAGUAACCUGCCCUUGACUUUGGUAUAACUUCAGGAAACUGGGGCUAAUACCGGAUAGGAGCUCCUGCUGCAUGGUGGGGGUUGGAAAGUUUCGGCGGUUGGGGAUGGACUCGCGGCUUAUCAGCUUGUUGGUGGGGUAGUGGCUUACCAAGGCUUUGACGGGUAGCCGGCCUGAGAGGGUGACCGGCCACAUUGGGACUGAGAUACGGCCCAGACUCCUACGGGAGGCAGCAGUGGGGAAUAUUGCACAAUGGGCGGAAGCCUGAUGAAGCAACGCCGCGUGCGGGAUGACGGCCUUCGGGUUGUAAACCGCUUUCGCCUGUGACGAAGCGUGAGUGACGGUAAUGGGUAAAGAAGCACCGGCUAACUACGUG
Molecule: ribosomal RNA, 468 nt
Filed under: uncultured bacterium
Lineage: Bacteria
Description: partial 16S ribosomal RNA
Rfam family: Bacterial small subunit ribosomal RNA
Source: RNAcentral